GAUGAACGCUGGCGGCGUGCUUAACACAUGCAAGUCGAACGUGAGAAUAGCAAUAUUUGAAAGUGGCAAACGGGUGAGUAACACGUGGGAACCUGCCUCGAAGUGGGGGAUAACGAUUGGAAACGGUCGCUAAUACCGCACGGUUCUGCUCUGAUGGGAAUGGAGCAGAUAAAGAUUUAUCGCUUUGAGAGGGGCCCGCGGCCGAUUAGCUAGUUGGUAAGGUAAAGGCUUACCAAGGCGAUUAUCGGUAGCUGGUCUGAGAGGACGAUCAGCCACACGGGAACUGAGACACGGUCCCGACUCCUACGGGGGGCAGCAGUGAGGAAUAUUGGGCAAUGGGCGAAAGCCUGACCCCAGCAACGCCGCGUGGAGGAUGAAGGCUUUAGGGUUGUAAACUCCUUUUGUGGGGGAAAAGAAUGGAUGGUACCCCAAGAAUAAGUCACGGCUAACUACGUGC
Molecule: ribosomal RNA, 457 nt
Filed under: uncultured Chloroflexota bacterium
Lineage: Bacteria; Bacillati; Chloroflexota
Description: bacterial SSU rRNA
Rfam family: Bacterial small subunit ribosomal RNA
Source: RNAcentral